CCGAGCAGCCGGGGUGGUAGCGGUACCUUGAACCAACAAUCCGCUAUAGUUGGGGUGAUGUCGAACAGAGGGUCUUCAAUUUUGGAGCUGCCCUUCAUAAGUGGCGCUGACGUUUGGGUCUUGCGCAACAGGAAUUUACGAACCAGGUCAGGUCAGGAAUGAAGCAGCCUUAAGUAAAACCUCCUGUGUGCCGCGAGGGUGCCUGGGCCGAGUUAACUGUGGAGGUAACGUCUGGGAUUUCGAUUCGAAGUAAGACGCUCGG
Roseburia sp. 831b is the source of this 262-nucleotide non-coding RNA. The record is from Rfam. Lineage: Bacteria; Bacillati; Bacillota; Clostridia; Lachnospirales; Lachnospiraceae.